GAAAUGCGAUAAGUAGUGUGAAUUGCAGAAUUCAGUGAAUCAUCGAAUCUUUGAACGCACAUUGCGCCCCUCGGUAUUCCGUGGGGCAUGCCUGUUCGAGCGUCAUCUACACCCUCAAGCUCUGCUUGGUGUUGGGCGUCUGUCCCGCCUCCGCGCGCGGACUCGCCCCAAACGCAUUGGCAGCGGUUCCUUGCCCCCCUCUUUGCGCAGCACAUUGCCAUUCGAGGCGGCGGCGGCCCGCGUCCAACAAGCUCAACCCCCCCGUCUUUGACCUCGGAUCAGGUAGGGAUACCCGCUGAACUUAAGC
RNAcentral lists this unclassified non-coding RNA (307 nucleotides) under plant metagenome. Its description in RNAcentral is "partial contains 5.8S ribosomal RNA, internal transcribed spacer 2, and large subunit ribosomal RNA". The stretch from base 1 to 105 matches the Rfam family "5.8S ribosomal RNA", at positions 50 to 154 of the family's 154-position model. The record is from RNAcentral.